Molecule: ribosomal RNA, 950 nt
Filed under: Enterococcus faecium
Lineage: Bacteria; Bacillati; Bacillota; Bacilli; Lactobacillales; Enterococcaceae
Description: bacterial SSU rRNA
Rfam family: Bacterial small subunit ribosomal RNA
Source: RNAcentral
AGUGGCGAACGGGUGAGUAACACGUGGGUAACCUGCCCAUCAUAAGGGGAUAACACUUGGAAACAGGUGCUNAAUACCGUAUAACNAAUCUAAACCGCAUGGUUUUGAUUUGAAAGGCGCUUUCGGGUGUCGCUGAUGGAUGGACCCGCGGUGCAUUAGCUAGUUGGUGAGGUAACGGCUCACCAAGGCCACGAUGCAUAGCCGNACCUGAGAGGGUGAUCGGCCACAUUGGGACUGAGACACGGCCCAAACUCCUACGGGAGGCAGCAGUAGGGAAUCUUCGGCAAUGGACGAAAGUCUGACCGAGCAACGCCGCGUGAGUGAAGAAGGUUUUCGGAUCGUAAAACUCUGUUGUUAGAGAAGAACAAGGAUGANGAGUANACUGUUCAUCCCUUGACGGUAUCUAACCAGAAAGCCACGGCUAACUACGUGCCAGCAGCCGCGGUAAUACGUAGGUGGCAAGCGUUGUCCGGAUUUAUUGGGCGUAAAGCGAGCGCACGCGGUUUCUUAAGUCUGAUGUGAAAGCCCCCGGCUCAACCGGGGAGGGUCAUUGGAAACUGGGAGACUUGAGUGCAGAACAGGAGAGUGGAAUUCCAUGUGUAGCGGUGNAAAUGCGUAGAUAUAUGGAGGAACACCACUGGCGAAUGCGGCUCUCUGGUCUGUAACUGACGCUGAGGCUCGAAAGCGUGUGGAGCAAACAGGAUUACAUACCCUGGUAGUCCACGCCGUAAACGAUGAGUGCUAAGUGUUGGAAGGUUUCCGCCCUUCACUGCUGCAGCUAACGCAUUAAACACUCCGCCUGGGGAGUACGACCGCAAGGUUGAAACUCAAAGGAAUUGACGGGGGCCCGCACAAGCGGUGUAGCAUGUGGUUUAAUUCAAAUCAACGCGAAGAGCCUUACCAUGUCUUGACAUCCUUUGACCACUCUACAUAUAGAGCUUCCCCUUCGG